CGAAGAGGAAAAGGCAACAGCCAAACAAGAAGUGGAAGGAGAGUGAGGUGCACUCUAUAAUAGAGUUUUUAAUGGAAGAGGCGGAACUUGAGGCAGUUGUUUUAUAAACGAUUUUUACAUAAAUCGCAGUUGGAUGUCUCAUGAGGUCUGGUGCGGUGGAAGGUCCGACAUUUUAAGGCGCAUUGGCGUAAAGCCAAUGACUAGCUCGCGUCAACGGGUGCAGGACUACAAAAUGAAGCUGACGGCAGAACCAUCAAAGCAAAAAUUGCUAAAAUGUGUCCAUACUACGACCAGCCGGCCGGCCAUGUAAUCGUUACUGGUUGAAAGCAACCUUCCUCCGCCUCAGGUAUGCCCAGUUAGUCCUGCACCAGAAUUCGAA
Molecule: long non-coding RNA, 379 nt
Organism: Bactrocera neohumeralis
Lineage: Eukaryota; Metazoa; Arthropoda; Insecta; Diptera; Tephritidae
Exons: 3
Source: RefSeq, a predicted model, not a curated record